AAUAUCAAAUUUUCUCCAAAAGGGGAAGAAACAGCAGCAGCAUACCUGAGUCGAUGCAAAGGGGAGUGGGAAGAGCACACUGGGGCUCAUCCACAUUCAGACAAAAUGCAGGAACAAAUGUUCAGGGCUGCUGUAUUGGAAGGAACUCCUAAAUCUGUACAAGAUGAAAUAAAAGCCAACCCCGAUUUACCAGGUGCUGUAUGUGAGGUUUGGGAACGACAUUUCCUUCAUCACAUGUCUAGGGCGAACGAAAAAGAAAAAGAAAAAGUAGGGGAAGUAGAGGAACUGAAAAAACAGUUGCUAAGAUUACAGUUGCAGGAAGCCAGAUCUAAAAUAAAUGAAGAAAAAGAGAAAAAGAAGGAUAAACAAAUGGUAGUUCAGGAGAUGAAAGCCCCUCCAAGAUAUACCAAAGAACAGGAAGUUGACCCAUCAAAUGUUACAUGGGAAAGAAACACCCAAAGACCAAUAUACUACUCCAAUAGAGGUAGGGGUGGGGAUUACAAUAGGGGGAGGGGAAGAGUGCAGUAUCAGGAAGGGUGUUUCCGUUGUGGUCGUCCGGGACACUUCGUCCGUGAUUGUCGGAAACCUGAACUCGGAGCCCAACAGAGAACAUCUCGGGGCAGAGGCCAUAACCCACACAUGGCCCCUAACGUGGAAAAAGCACCACGACCACACUCCCAGUACCCUUUGUCCACUGGAGGGGAAAGGGAGUGGUACUGAGACAGCCCACGGAACGACCUCAGCAGGGUUAGGGCGGAACCCUUGCUGACUUUGGAGGUGAACUCACGUCCUGUUGAAUUCCUGGUGGAUACUGGGGCAACAUACUCCACACUGAACUAUGAACUUCCAAAAAAUCUUAUUUCAGACGAAACCACUGAAGUAAGGGGGUUUUCCGGGGCUAUAACUAGACUGCCAUUCUCCAAAGAACUCGCAGUGCAUGAAAAAACAAUCACUGACUCACUCUUUUCUGCUGUCAUAUUCCUCACCGACAAAUUUGUUGGGAAGAGACUUGCUAGUGAAACUUGGAGCUGAAAUCCUAUGCAGCCUGGAGGGGAUUAUAGUAACUAUGAAAAAUGGUAUCACCAUGAACUGUUCCAUCAUGACCACAAUGAGAACGCAUGGACAAUGGUUACUUUCAGCAAACACCUCUCCACAGGGAGCUGACAUUUACUGGGGGAGGGUGCUUCUGGGGGACACAAGGGACACCCUGAAUGAUCUGUACUGUCAAUGGGAACCUUGGAUAUUAUCAUUAGUACCAUACACUCAGCUAAUAGAUCCACUGGAUGUCACUUUGUUUUAUGAUAGAACACAAGAGUACUGGUACCAAGAACAAUUUGAUAACAUCGCAGGAGAACAAUGGGAAAUUUGUGGGGCAGGAAUAAUGAUAGGCAAAGAGGGAGUGGCAGCUAUAGUAGAACUUACCCCCGAACAGGAACAAUGGUAUAGAAUGAGGGAAGAGGCAUCACCCCAUAUAUCAUUAUUAGUACAUCCCCAACACCAAGCUAAAGAUCAAGGACCAAUGGUAAAGAAGGGAAUAAAUUUAACAGAUUGGAGGAAAACCCAACUUCCUGGUGUAAAAUAUUCACCUAGCUCAGGGUAUUAUUUGAUCACACAAGAAACAAAAGACAAUGUAGUGUUGGAACACAAAUGGCUCACAAGAUGGCAUGGUAGGGAUAAAAGUAAUCAUGAAAAUGAUGAAACAAUGUUGAAAAGUUUGCCCGAUCAGUUAUGAACACAGAAUCCCACAGAUGUAGGGUUUUGUAAAAAUUUCCCAGAAAUAUCGUUCGAGCUGACAUGUGAUGAUCCAAUUUUGGAGGCCUCAAUACAAGCACAAACCAAAGGCAGAGGAAGGUAUCAAAGAUAACAUUGAAGGUUUGUUUAACCGCAGGGGUUUUAGAGUAUGCUGAUUCCAAUUGGAACACACCCAUUUUGCCUGUGGAAAAACAAAACACAGGAAAAUUCAGAAUGGCACAUGAUUUGAGAACAAUCAAUCAAAUCAUUAAAACUCCAACUUAACCUGUUCCAAACCCAUAAACUUCUCUGAAUUAAAUCACUAAAAAUCAAUCAUGGUAUACUUGCAUCGAUCUCACUAAUGAUUUCUUCUGUUUACCUCUCGCAGAGCACGUAAGGGACAUUGUUUGACCGUACUCACCGCGCACUCUGUGGUAACUUAUGUUAAUUAAUCAUCAUUUAUAAUUUCCACUCUGAGACAAAGACGGUUGGAAAACAGUCUGCACAACUAAAUUUGGUUUUCACACAUGAGGGCAUAAACAUGGCCUCAUAUUGGACAGAAGGAGAACCCCAUGACUGUUGUAUGACCGUGGAAAGGGAAGAGAAAAUUAGACCAGAUUUGUUGACACAAAUCAUUCCGGAGGGAGUUAUGGUGUUUUCAAAUGGAUGUUGUUUCAGAGAUUCGAGUGGAACACUGAGGUCAGGAAUAGGUAUUGCAGCACUGCAAGAGGAAGAGAUUCAAAUAUUGAGAGCAGAACCUUUACAGGGACAUCAGUCAGCUCAGAGAGCAUAAAUUGUGGCAAUGACAAAGGCUUUGGAGUGGGGAGAGGGAAAAAUAAUUAACAUUUUUAGUGACUCUGCCUAUGAAGUGGGUGCAGUAGUAACAGAAUUACCUAAGUGGAAAAGAUAUGGUUUUAUGGCAGCUAACAACAAACCUAUUAAACAUCAGGAAGACAUCAUAGCAUUAGCAGCAGCUAUUUUGAGACCCAACUAGGUGGCGAUCAUAAAGUGCAAAGGUAAUGAUAACAGUAACUCAGAUGCGGCACAAGGUAACCGGAUAGCGGACAUGGCAGUAAAGAUAGGUGCAGAGUACGUAACACAGAUGGUAUUGCAGAAUGCCACACAAGAAUGUACCACCGACAUUUUGCAUGAUCCAAACAUAGCAGUAGAACAAGAUAAAGCAUGAGGAAAAAUCCAUGUGGCUCCAAAAAGGAACUGUAUGGACGCAAACUGGCUGGGUAGGGCAUGACGGUAGACCCGUAACUCUGCCCAGCAUGGUAAAACCCCUUCUCACUCAAGCACACACCCCCUCACAUGUUGGAAUCAAACAACCCGUGUCCAAUCUUAACCAGUGGUGGCACCCAUACCUGGCUGCUACAGUUAAAGAAUUUAUCGCUAACUGCAGGGUAUGCUCCAUACACAAUGUACGUGCUGGAGUGAAAUGUGCCCCAGGUGUCUUCCCGCCACGGGGACCUGGUGAGGAAGUGGUUAUCGAUUACACAGACAUGGGGGACAGAGUGGAAGGUAAACGGUAUCUUUUGGUUUUCGUGGAUGUGUUUUCAGGUUGGCCAGAGGCGUGGCCCACGGGGAAGGAAGAUUUGAUUUCGGUGAUUAAGUGUUUGAUUAACCAAUAAAUUCCGCGUCACGGUUUUCCACGAAUUAUUCGCUCAGACAACGGUACACAUUUUAAGAAUAAAGAUUUGCAAAAGGUUGAGAGUGCACUGGGAUUGUGCUUCCGUUUCGGUACCGUAUAACAUCCUCAAUCACAGGAAAAAGUUAAACGCAUGAAUCUUAACCGCAUGACCUCAUUUACACCAUUUGAACUUCUGAUGGUAGUUCAUUUCCUGGUCCGUUCAACCCAGUGCACCCUGAACAAAUAAAAAUCUCGAUCACAGAACAUAAUUAACCAAACUGAAUGAAAUUGUUUCAAGUUUUUCCAAACAGAAAACCAUCUCUCGUGCAUAUCCAGAUGCAGAAAUCACUCUAUUGGAGGAUUGGGUGCUCCUAAGGGAUAUGGUAAGAUUGGACCUGCAGGAACUGCAGGUCCAAAAGGGGGAAUCCAACACAGGGGAACAACAGCAGGUUGACAUUUCCCAAAAGAACACAAAAGUUACACUCAAAGAACUAAAGGGGGAUUAUUCAACAGUCCAAAACAUGAAGCAUUAGCUCACUGCAUUAGCAAAGAUUGUGCAUUUGGAAAAAGAAUAGCAUUGGAAUUCAGAAAAAGAUAUGGAGUAGACAAAGUAGUUUGAUAAUGGAAACAGUGGGACAGUGCGCGGUAACACAGGAAGGGCAAAAAUAAAAAAUUUUCAAAAGAGAAAGCCAAAGAUUUUCCAAAAUACGACACAUUGAGACAGGCAAUAAAAUAACUAAAAAAAAAAAAAAAACACUGUGAAGAACAAAGGGUAAAAAACUUGGCUAUACCCACGAUUGGGUGUGGUCUGGAUAGAUUAGAGUGGGAAAAAGUAAAGGAUUUAAUCAAAGAAGAGUUCCAAAACACUGAAAUAACCAUUACUGUGUAUGUAAGGGAAUAAUAAGUGGAAAAAAGAGGAGAUUGUGAUUGUGAAGUAUUUUACUAUUUUUCAAAUAUUUUACGUUUUUCUAUUUCAUGAUUUUCAAAUAUUUGACACUUUUCUAUUUUCAGAUUUUAAAGAUUUUACAUUUGAAUAUUUUACAACUUCCAAGUAUUUUACAGUUUACUAUUUUUGGUGAUUUUUAAAGGUGUUACAUUUUACCAUUUUCAUGAGUUUCAAGUAUUUCACAUGUGACUAUUUUUUGAGAAUUUCAAAUAUUUUACAUUUUCCUACAUAUUGUGAUUUUCAAGGGUUUUCCAGUUUACAAUAUUUUAUGAUUUUCAAAGGACUUACAUUUUAAUAUAUCCUUUUGUGAGCAUCUUUGAAAAUAUUUGAUAAAAUUCUACAAUUUUCAUAUAUCCUUUCAGGAGUAUUUUUUAAUAAUAUUGUUUUACAUGUUUAUGGAUUAUUUUACAAAGGCAUUUUGAAGACAUUUUACAAUUAUCUUGAAUUAAAAUAUAUUGUGGUAUAGAUUUGUAGGCUUAUCAGUUUACUUUUAACGUGUGUGUUUUGAAAUUAUUUUACAUCCAGUUUGACUAUAUUUUACAGCCUUCAUCUAUAUUUUUAUAAAUGUUUUAUAAUUCUUUUAUUUCUGGGAUAUAUAACAUUUUUAUUACGUGACAGUUUUUAGAGGAAUAUUUACUAUAUUUUGGUUAUAUUUGACAGUGUGUGGAGGAUAUAAUUUUGCUGUAUUUUACAGGACGUUUAUAAUAAAUGUUCACCAAAUUUGUAUAUUUGAAUAUUUUCAAGCCGAGAUAAGAUUUACACGAAAUCAUAUAUUUGUGAUAGUGCCUGUUUAGAAAUAAAUAAAUAAACAAAUAAAUAAAGUGACAAAAAUUAAGGGAUUAAGAACCCAUGUAAUAGCUGGAUGACAAAAUGGUUUGGGCAAUACAGCGCACUGAUAACCUCAUUGAUAAUGUCUAUUGCGGUGGCGGCAGCAAUAAUAGUAAACUGUGGAUGUUGUUGUAUGCCAUGUAUCAGAUCUUUGUGUAACAGGUGUAUCGUGAAGACGGUGGAGGGAAAGGAUCCUCCACCGUAUCAGAUGCCACUGCUAGGAGGAGGAUGAACCAGUGGUUGAUCUCCUGUAAAGGAGAUCAAAAGGGGGAAUGAAGGAAAAUGAGAACAUUUCCCACAUCAGUAUAUCCUUUCAUUAUUAAUAAUUGCAUUGCUUCUAAUAUUAUAAAGCAGUUAUGAGUAUUAAUAUUUAGCAGUUUAUCACAUAGUAUUGAAAUCAGUUAUGUUUAUGAUCGGUCUUAUUUGUUGUGCAUGAUCAAAGCUUAUAUAUGAAUCCAUUGCAUUUGACUCUAAAAGGUCAUGUCUGCAGAAUUUUGGAGGCUUGCAGUCUUGUGUGGUAUGUAUGUAUGUGUGUUUUUUAACUUUUGCUUUGCAGAGACACCUGGGGAGAAAAACAGGAUGUCGGGGCGACAGGGUGAACUAAAGGUCAAUGUUGUUUAUAGCAGCAUGAACUUCUGAGACAGAAGUAAAACUUUCCAUCGAACGGGCCCCCACCCAACUACACAUAUAUAUUUUUGGGUCAGAGGGAGAGGCAGAUCAGAUCAACCGCUCCUCGGGGGACCUGUUUCUGCAUUGGUGUUGUGUAAGGACAGGGACAGUUUUGAUCCAGAGCUCUGUAAUACUUCAUUUGAGAUACUUAUUAAAAAUAUUUGAUUUGA
Misgurnus anguillicaudatus (oriental weatherfish) is the source of this 5977-nucleotide non-coding RNA. Lineage: Eukaryota; Metazoa; Chordata; Actinopteri; Cypriniformes; Cobitidae. The record is from RefSeq and is a predicted model, not a curated record.